RNAcentral lists this ribosomal RNA (513 nucleotides) under uncultured bacterium. RNAcentral's name for it is "partial 16S ribosomal RNA". The record is from RNAcentral.
GGAGUUAGCCGGUGCUUCUUCUGCGAGUAACGUCACAGAUGUAAGGUAUUAACUUACACCCUUUCCUCCUCGCUGAAAGUGCUUUACAACCCGAAGGCCUUCUUCACACACGCGGCAUGGCUGCAUCAGGGUUUCCCCCAUUGUGCAAUAUUCCCCACUGCUGCCUCCCGUAGGAGUCUGGGCCGUGUCUCAGUCCCAGUGUGGCUGAUCAUCCUCUCAGACCAGCUAGGGAUCGUCGCCUAGGUGAGCCUUUACCUCACCUACUAGCUAAUCCCACCUGGGCUUAUCCAUCAGCGCAAGGCCCGAAGGUCCCCUGCUUUCCCCCGUAGGGCGUAUGCGGUAUUAGCAGUCGUUUCCAACUGUUAUCCCCCACAAAUGGGCAAAUUCCCAGGCAUUACUCACCCGUCCGCCGCUCGUCAUCUUCAAAAGCAAGCUUUUGAAAUGUUACCGCUCGACUUGCAUGUGUUAGGCCUGCCGCCAGCGUUCAAUCUGAACCAAGAAUCAAAUUACUGA